RNAcentral lists this ribosomal RNA (253 nucleotides) under uncultured bacterium. Its description in RNAcentral is "partial 16S ribosomal RNA". It matches the Rfam family "Bacterial small subunit ribosomal RNA", at positions 524 to 776 of the family's 1533-position model. The record is from RNAcentral.
UACGUAGGGGGCUAGCGUUGUCCGGAAUCAUUGGGCGUAAAGCGCGUGUAGGCGGUUCGGUACGUCCGUUGUGAAAGUCGGGGGCUCAACCCUCGGAUGCCGGUGGAUACUGUCGGACUAGAGUACGGAAGAGGCGAGUGGAAUUCCUGGUGUAGCGGUGAAAUGCGCAGAUAUCAGGAGGAACACCGAUUGCGAAGGCAGCUCGCUGGGACGUUACUGACGCUGAGACGCGAAAGCGUGGGGAGCAAACAGG